Molecule: small nuclear RNA, 161 nt
Organism: Quercus lobata
Lineage: Eukaryota; Viridiplantae; Streptophyta; Magnoliopsida; Fagales; Fagaceae
Product: U1 spliceosomal RNA
Exons: 1
Source: RefSeq, a predicted model, not a curated record
AUACUUACCUGGACGGGGUCAAUGGGUGAUCCAUAAGGCCCAUGGCCUGGGGUUGUGGUCUCCAUUGCACGUAAAGGAGGGGCGCUAGCCUAAGGUCUUUCCAAGUGGAAGAGCCUACGUCAUUAUUUGUUGCUCCGGGGGCUGCGCAAGCGCGGCCCUGC